Molecule: non-coding RNA, 74 nt
Organism: Escherichia coli O157:H7 str. TW14359
Lineage: Bacteria; Pseudomonadati; Pseudomonadota; Gammaproteobacteria; Enterobacterales; Enterobacteriaceae
Source: Rfam
GAUGCUCUAGGCAUCACAUUUUCUCCAUGGGGUAUUCCCUCCGCCGGCACUAUGUGUUGCUGGCGUUUUUUUAU